GGCCCUGCGCAUAAGUCAACGGUAGACCAGCGGAACAUGCCAGUGCGACCCCGGUUCGACUCCGGGAUGCAGGGCCA
Molecule: transfer RNA, 77 nt
Filed under: Rothia mucilaginosa
Lineage: Bacteria; Bacillati; Actinomycetota; Actinomycetes; Micrococcales; Micrococcaceae
Description: tRNA-OTHER
Source: RNAcentral